RNAcentral lists this ribosomal RNA (483 nucleotides) under uncultured bacterium. RNAcentral's name for it is "partial 16S ribosomal RNA". It matches the Rfam family "Bacterial small subunit ribosomal RNA", at positions 30 to 506 of the family's 1533-position model. The record is from RNAcentral.
AUUGAACGCUGGCGGCAGGCCUAACACAUGCAAGUCGAGCGGAUGAAGGGAGCUUGCUCCUGGAUUCAGCGGCGGACGGGUGAGUAAUGCCUAGGAAUCUGCCUGGUAGUGGGGGAUAACGUCCGGAAACGGGCGCUAAUACCGCAUACGUCCUGAGGGAGAAAGUGGGGGAUCUUCGGACCUCACGCUAUCAGAUGAGCCUAGGUCGGAUUAGCUAGUUGGUGGGGUAAAGGCCUACCAAGGCGACGAUCCGUAACUGGUCUGAGAGGAUGAUCAGUCACACUGGAACUGAGACACGGUCCAGACUCCUACGGGAGGCAGCAGUGGGGAAUAUUGGACAAUGGGCGAAAGCCUGAUCCAGCCAUGCCGCGUGUGUGAAGAAGGUCUUCGGAUUGUAAAGCACUUUAAGUUGGGAGGAAGGGCAGUAAGUUAAUACCUCGCUGUUUGGACGUGACCAACAGAAUAAGCACCGGCUAACUUCGU